This 297-nucleotide long non-coding RNA is filed under the name Elaeis guineensis (African oil palm). Its description in RNAcentral is "long non-coding RNA (EGUI_LNC041256)". The record is from RNAcentral. Lineage: Eukaryota; Viridiplantae; Streptophyta; Magnoliopsida; Arecales; Arecaceae.
UUGAACCUAUGGCCGAUGCACAAUUUAAGCUUGAAACUGAGCCCUUCCCCAUGCUUGAUAACAAAGCCAUCCCACUGUUUUCUUUGAUUUGAAAAUCUUCUAGAAUGAAGGUUGUAGACAUAGUAAAACAAACCACAACUAAGCUGAGCCCGAUUAGAAGGAAGAAGAAAGGCUUCAAAGGAGACGAAGCUAGCUCUAACCCUCACCUUUUGCUCUUACUUCCUCAUUGUUUGCUGUUAGAUUGGGGUGGGCUUGUGGUUUUUCGUUCUCCAAAGAGAUUGCACAGGAUGUGAUUGA